RNAcentral lists this long non-coding RNA (2173 nucleotides) under Sus scrofa (pig). RNAcentral describes it as "lncRNA (ENSSSCG00000045049.1, ENSSSCG00035046230.1)". The record is from RNAcentral. Lineage: Eukaryota; Metazoa; Chordata; Mammalia; Artiodactyla; Suidae.
CACUAUGGGCUAAAGAAGCAAAAAAGAAAAGAAAAAAAGAGCAUGUAGUAGGAAAGUAUCCCUCAAUCCUCCUUUUACUGUUUCAUCAAGUUCUACUCCUGAAAGUGUUAAUAUUAUACACAUGUUGUUAUUAAUUCCAUACUUGCAAAACAUCUAUAUGAACAUGUUACAACAAAUAAAUUUGGCUUUUCAAUCAAGUUAUUUAAAAUGAGAUUUGAUCUAAUCCAACAUGAAAAAUUCAAUGUGUUUAACUGCCCAAAGACAGAAGUCACAAUCUCCAUGCUAAUUCAAUUGUUAGCAUAUUUAUUCUUCUUAUAUACUGUAACAAUGAGAUUUUUUGCAUUUUAUACAGGUGACAAAUAAAUGUUAUUCAAGUUUCAGUUCAAGUUAUUUAUUUAUGAAACACAGGUCUGAAUCCAUAUGUCAUUUUCUUCCUCUAUAUUCAAAGGAAAAGGUCUGGAUUCUACAAAAAGAACCAAAAGAACUAGUCACUGCCAGAUGGUACGAACGUUAAACCUCCUCACUUUCUUUGAUGGACUGAAGAGUAGUUAAUAGUUCAUUUUUUAAACCUAAUAACUAGGAUUAAUACAUUUAAUACAUUGUAUGACAGAUAACAGUACAUUACUUUUAAUUAUCGUCAGGCACACACACUUUUCAGUGAAAGAAAAUGAGUAACUGUCUUAUUAUUGGAAAUCACACAGGGUAGGCUUUUAGGCAGAGCAAAGUAACUUGCAUUAUUAGAGUAGGAAAUAAAAGCAAUUUUUAGAGCUAUUACCUCAAAUCCUUCCAAAAGAUCUGGAGAAAGAAACAGUAAUUUAUACUCUUUUUCUUAAUACUUAACAACAUGUUCAAAAUUUUAUAACUUAGUAAAAGCCCUUACAUUUCAUUUUAUCUUCACAAGAGCUUUAUAAGGUUGUCAGGUGAGUUAGUAUGUUUACAGUAAACACUAUGACAGAGCAAUGUUUCUUAACAUGGGAUUGGAAAUUGAUCUUUUGACUCAUAGUCCAGGGCUUGCUUUUAUAAUGCAUUUUUUUAAAAAAUCACCUAACACAACUACACUUCCAUAAAUUAUACCCCAUUAACUGGGCCUUUUAGUCAUCUAUUCUGUUCAUGAAAUGACCUAUUUCUGCAUUACUACAAGAGUUCACAUUUUAUUCUUGGUUAAUCUUUGCCAGUUCAACACAAAAUAUGUUACCAAUAUUCUCAAUACCCUUUACAUAAUUUAACCCUCUCACCAAAUGUCCCUCCAUAUUUCAGACUUACAAACUAAUGAAAGCAAAAUAGGUUUAAUAUGAGCUAUUAAAGAAUUACCAUUACCCAUAUUUUGUUAUUUUGCCAAAUUUCAUUCAAUAGCAAGAUACAAAACUAUUUUCUGUAAUAUCUGGAAGAAGGAGGAGGAAUUACAAAGACAUGAAAAUCCUGAGGUGGUAUUUCAGUUGUGAAUAUCUCAUCCUUCUUCAAUUCAAGGCUUCACAAAGCUUGGUCCCUAACCUUGACCUCAUUGCUUGGUAUUAACACAGGGGCAAGUGAUGAAUUUCCGUAGCUUAAGGGAACUAUGAGUUUCCUCACGUGCUAAAUCAGAUUAUUAACAAGCAAGCACUCAAUUUAGUUCGGAGGGCUGAUAUUAAGCACUUUAACUCAUUACCAGCCACCUCCAUCCAGAAAAAGGAAGAAGUUCCACAAAAGCUAUUUGCCCUCGUUAUUCAUUCAAAACCUAUUCCUCCGCCUCCUCAAAACCUCUGACAAAUUCCUGCCGCCUCUGUUUCUGCACCAGAGCCUCCUUUGAUUUCUAAGAAGGACAGGGGAAGGUUCAGAAGUCUUCUCAAACCAAUACCGCGACUCCUGACUCUUGCCAAAGCGGCCUCACGUACCCUGAUUCUAGGAAGGCAGUGGCUACAAGGAAAACAACAAACAAACAAAAAACCCAAGCUGCUGGCGCCUACCAAUUGGCGUUAGAGCCCUCACCCCUCCACAACUAGACCUAAAUAGUUACUACCCGGCCCUGCGCUUCACCCCUUCCGAGAAUCAGCUUUUCAGACAGGAAAGGAUACUUUCUAUAUUCGACAUGGUUCCACGACUGUUCUUGAGAGGCGAGAGUCAGGGUCAGCGGCAUGGAUCAGAUAGCUGGGAGCUCUCAGCGGGGUUCUAGUCGGGAGGUGUGUCCUGCCAGUCU